Molecule: ribosomal RNA, 252 nt
Filed under: uncultured bacterium
Lineage: Bacteria
Description: partial 16S ribosomal RNA
Rfam family: Bacterial small subunit ribosomal RNA
Source: RNAcentral
UACGGAGGAUGCGAGCGUUAUCCGGAUUUAUUGGGUUUAAAGGGUGCGUAGGCGGAUCGUUAAGUCAGUGGUCAAAUUGAGGGGCUCAACCCCUUCCCGCCAUUGAAACUGGCGAUCUUGAGUGGAAGAGAAGUAUGCAGAAUGCGUGGUGUAGCGGUGAAAUGCAUAGAUAUCACGCAGAACCCCGAUUGCGAAGGCAGCAUGCCGGCUUCCUACUGACGCUGAAGCACGAAAGCGUGGGGAUCGAACAGG